RNAcentral lists this ribosomal RNA (472 nucleotides) under uncultured bacterium. RNAcentral's name for it is "partial 16S ribosomal RNA". It matches the Rfam family "Bacterial small subunit ribosomal RNA", at positions 28 to 507 of the family's 1533-position model. The record is from RNAcentral.
GACGAACGCUGGCGGCGUGCUUAACACAUGCAAGUCGAACGCUGAAGCUUGGUGCUUGCACUGGGUGGAUGAGUGGCGAACGGGUGAGUAAUACGUGAGUAACCUGCCCUUGACUCUGGGAUAAGCCUGGGAAACUGGGUCUAAUACUGGAUAUGACAUGCCACUGCAUGGUGGUGUGUGGAAAGGGUUUUACUGGUUUUGGAUGGGCUCACGGCCUAUCAGCUUGUUGGUGGGGUAAUGGCCUACCAAGGCGACGACGGGUAGCCGGCCUGAGAGGGUGACCGGCCACACUGGGACUGAGACACGGCCCAGACUCCUACGGGAGGCAGCAGUGGGGAAUAUUGCACAAUGGGCGGAAGCCUGAUGCAGCGACGCCGCGUGAGGGAUGACGGCCUUCGGGUUGUAAACCUCUUUCAGCAGGGAAGAAGCGAAAGUGACGGUACCUGCAGAAGAAGCACCGGCUAACUACGUG